Molecule: ribosomal RNA, 255 nt
Filed under: uncultured bacterium
Lineage: Bacteria
Description: partial 16S ribosomal RNA
Rfam family: Bacterial small subunit ribosomal RNA
Source: RNAcentral
CGGAAGGUCCAGGCGUUAUCCGGAUUUAUUGGGUUUAAGGGAGCGUAGGCUGGAGAUUAAGUGUGUUGUGAAAUGUAGACGCUCAACGUCUGACUUGCAGCGCAUACUGGUUUCCUUGAGUACGCACAACGUUGGCGGAAUUCGUCGUGUAGCGGUGAAAUGCUUAGAUAUGACGAAGAACUCCGAUUGCGAAGGCAGCUGACGGGAGCGCAACUGACGCUUUAAAGCUCGAAGGUGCGGGUAUCAAACAGGAUU